This is a long non-coding RNA of Bombus huntii, 14472 nucleotides long. RefSeq lists it as uncharacterized. The record is from RefSeq and is a predicted model, not a curated record. Lineage: Eukaryota; Metazoa; Arthropoda; Insecta; Hymenoptera; Apidae. The transcript is spliced from 7 exons.
UGAAAUCAGACAACAAAAUGUUCACUACGUCGUGGAUGUGAGGUGGUUUCUGUAGGACGUGUAGGGCGCCAAAGAAAUACUCGGCGUUUUGCUUGACAGUAUAUUAUUAACACGUUUAAUGACUUCGUUACAAGUCUCGACUCGCGACUUGUGCGGGCGACAAUUUAUUCACAAUUCUCGUUUUCGACUCUUUACGUACGACUCUCGAUUUCGACUGACCAGUCUCGCUUCCCGGUCACAACUCAACUGUUCCGUUGAUCCGAUUCGUUCCUUUUUUGCCACCUCUCAAUAUCCCCACACACACGCGUUCGUUCCAACUAUUCGUGGAAGGACCGUAGAAUUAUUGAUGGCUCAUUAGGCCUGUCGACACUUCGUCGUGAUCUUACUUAUGUUUCGUCGGUCUUUCGAAAACAGUCUGUCGACGAUGGUAUACUUUGACCGACGGAACCGUUGGAAAGUUCUUUGUUGUCGAGUGCCACUACAGAUUAUUAGAGCGCGGACGUAGAAUCAGCCGUAUAUACGCGUAUACUUUUCUGCAAAAAUCCGACAAGACUAACUUCAAUCAGAAACGUGACAUUGUCGGAACGAGAUUGCGUCUCCUCUUUCGGCGUGUCCGUUUUCGGUCUCGGGGAUUCUCCUAACGAUCAGUUUUCGAGCUUUCCACUUCCAACAGAUUGGCUCGCUUCUGAUUCGCAAUAAAGUACCAGUGGAAUCUUAUUUUUCGCGAUCCUGCAUUAUCGAUGGAGCGAUCAACUGUUUUUCGAGAGACCGAAUCGGUUCGACAUUCUCGCGAUGCGCCAUUACAUUGUCUACGUCCCUCGCGAAACAUUCGUCGAGAGCAUCUCGUAAAAUUAACUGGAUCACUGAAUAUUCUUCAGCCGGAGAUCGGGACGAUAUUCUUUAGUAAUUUUUAUUGGAACGAUCGGCACGAUGUGACGUAGCUUGGCGCGGUGCGGCCUAUCGAUUGAAAGCAACCGCGCGGAGAGGAUCGAUCACGCGGAACCUCCGACAUAGUACAUAGUAGGUGGAAGCAAACAGGAAUACCGAAGGAGACACGACUCACGGUAUCGGUGGUUCAUCUGUCUCAGAUUAAACCAGCUGCUACGUUGCCGAGCUACCGUCGCUCGAAUACCAUUGGUUACAGUUAUAUACAACCUGUAAUCGAAUAUAUCGGAGAUACCGAGAUUGUCGUUGCUGUUAGCUCUGUAAGCAGCAGGCUAACAUGUUUUCGCUUUCCCGCGAUAAAGAAGAAGAUUCGGUAAUUUGUGUUGAGGUUUUUACGUAUUUCGGAAUAGAAAGAGCAAAUGCGUGGAUGAAUGUGUUAUAGAAAUUCUUUAUUCAGGAACGUUAGAAAUUAGGAUUUCCAGUGGUUUCUAUCCUAUGUGAUAAUGUAUUGAUAGAUGGAUCUAUUACAGUGGAUUAAACAGAAAACGAUGAUUAUUUAACGUGAAUGCAGUAGUGUGAUAUAACUUUCGAUUAACGACUAUUCACUCUUGACUCUCCGACGGCUAACUGAACAUCAACUGCUGCGGUGCCGAAAUAUAUUGAUGGCCGUUAGACCUGUUGAAGUUUUCCGAUCCUUUCGGUUUGUCGGCAUUUGCGCUUUAUCGUCGACAUUGUCUGUAUGUCGGCAAUCUUUUCGCGGUACUAUAAUACAGACGAAAGAAGUUGCUAUAAUGAGAAUCGUUGUGCCAAAACAUUAGAGUUUUCCUAGAAGUGAGAUCCACAACAAUUUGUAAAAGAGCACGAACAGAUAAAAGAUAGCGAAGACAAUGAUGGCGGAGGGGAAAGUUGAUGGAGUUAGGUAGUUGUCGGAUAGUACGGAGGAAAGUGGAAACUAAAUUGGGUAUUACGCAUAGCGGCUACGUUAUCACGGAAGGCUGGCAGUCGGCCGGAUAUCGAGUGUCAAUAUCCAAAGGAUGUUGGCGCAAUAUCGGAUGAACGGUUCUGAAACACGGCCACCCUAUCUCGGACAUGCCACGGCAUUAAUAUUCCGAGCAAGUUACGAUGCAACCAUCUUCUUGUUUUCAUCGUUGAUAGGAAUACUCGCGCUACGCGACACGAACUUGCGCCAUUUUCUCCACCAAAAUCACGUUCUCAAUUCAAUUUCACAUUGUUGAAGUUGACUGACAGAGGAUGAACUUGUAAUAGGAAAAUAUAUUGAAGUAAGUAUAAGUACAGGUAUAGUGUAUGAGGUUAAAAUCAAAUAAAUUGUUAUUAUUAUUUAUUAAUUUAAUGUAUGAUAUUGUUGAGGUUAACUGAUGGAGGAACGAGUGGAUGAAUUUAUUAUUAGAAAAAUAUAUUGAAAUAAAUAAAGCUAUACGUGUAAGUACAGGUAUAGUGUAUGAGGUGAAAAUCAAAUAAAUUGUUAUUAUUAUUUAUUAAUUUAAUGUAUGAUAUUGUUGAGGUUAACUGAUAGAGGAACGAAUGGAUGAAUUUAUUAUUAGAAAAAUAUAUUGAAGUAAGUAUAAGUACAGCUACAAUGUAUGAGGUGAAAAUCAAAUAAAUUGUUAUCAUUAUUUAUUACUUUAAUAUACGAUAUUGUUGAGGUUAACUGAUAGAGGAACGAGUGGAUGAAUUUAUUAUUAGAAAAAUAUAUUGAAAUAAAUAAAGCUAUACAUGUAAGUACAGGUAUAGUGUAUGAGGUGAAAAUCAAAUAAAUUGUUAUCAUUAUUUAUUAAUUUAAUAUAUAAUAUUGUUGAGGUUAACUGAUAGAGGAACGAGCGGAUGAAUUUAUUAUUAGAAAAAUAUAUUGAAAUAAAUAAAGUUAUAUGUGUAAGUACAGGUAUAGUGUAUGAGGUGAAAAUCAAAUAAACUGUUAUCAUUAUUUAUUAAUUUAAUGUAUGAUAUUGUUGAGGUUAACUGAUAGAGGAACGAGUGGAUGAACUUGUAAUAGAAAAAUAUAUUGAAGUUAACUGAUAGAGGAACGAGUGGAUGAAUUUAUUAUUAGAAAAAUAUAUUGAAAUAAAUAAAGAUAUAAAUGUAUGUAUAAUAUAUGCUGAUCCAGACCCUCAUUCUUACAGUGUUACAAUACAAUAGAAGCUAUGAUAGGGAGCACGUUCAUAUAUCAUAUAUACAAAAGACAUUAGCAAAAAGAUAAAUUUGUAGCUAUAGCUGAAGGCUACAAGAAACAGCAAUAGAAACCUACUUAUAGCUCUUUUGUUUCUACACCUUGUAAUCCAAAACACAAUUUAUAUUCAAGGGCACAAUAAUAUGCACCUCUCCUUAUUUAGAGUAUCUUUUGUUUCACUAAAUUCUAUUCUCUUCGUAACAGCGGUCUCCAGGUGACGGGUAUACAAAAGGAAAAUUGUAGUUUUUUUCUUGAAGUAAUUACUACAACACGAUUGAAUAUCGCAGGAGAUAUGCUACACAAUUUGUCUCUUUCCAAUUAUUCGACACGCGGCAGACCGUCGCAAAGUGAGUGGCCAACUCGGCUACAGGCAAAACAUUGGAUACAUUUUCCUGAACACGUACCUUCGACUAAUAAAAAGGAACAUCUUGCAAAGAGAUGCCACGUGUGUGUAAAAAAUAGUAUAAGAAGCGAAACAACUUGACAGUGUAAAAAAUGUCUAGUUCCUCUACAUAUUCAAAAAUGUUUUCAAACGUAUCAUACUUCACAGAAUUAUUCAUUUAUUAUUUUAUAAUGUUACUUAACUACUGUCCAUUAACGUUAUAUACCAACCUGAUUAAAUAUUAUACAACGAUGUAAAUUUCGAAAUAAAAUAUCCUGUUUCUAAGCUUGCAUUAUAACUGUUCAGUUGAGCCAAAUUAAAUAGUAUUCUUCGCACGUAUCUAAUUCCAGUUUAUUUGUACGUCAAGGGGUCAAUAUAUUCGCAUAACAUUUAACAUAUUUAACUCUACCAAACAACACCUGAUAAAAGAUAUAAUCAACGUCUAAAGAUCCUGUAGCGACACAUGAGCCAACGGAAGAUUAGAAUCGGCAGAGACUCAUAUUCUUGUGUUUUGGAACACCAACGUUGUUUUGGUUCGUUAGUUUCGAAAGUAAAUAAACUCCGGGCAGAAUAUUAUCGCCGUUAUUUCUAACCGUCAACCGGAGUCACAUUCAAACUUUUCAUAACACCAUCGGUCGAUACAAAUAGACGAACGUGCCCUCUAGGACGUUCACACAGUCACACAGUCGAAUAGCGAGCGUAGAGUCGAACAGUAGCGUCGAGCGAGCGACGAUUGCAACCGGUAUACACUAUCCUUGUACUUGUAUUUAAAGUAAUUUUAAUAUACACUGAUUAUUACAAUUUGAUCACUCGCGUCUCUUUAAUAAAGCAACACGUAUAAUAAUCCAUCUCAAUCCUAGCGAUCAUUAACGUUUGCAGACGCGAAGAAGAAUUAGAAAAAGUGAAAUAGCUUCGAUACAAAGUGAGUAAGAACAGUUUGUAAUGUUUCACGACGAUACAUACGAUGCAUACGUCGAUAUGAAUUGGCAUAUGUUAUUUUGCAUGUAGUAUACAAAAUGCUCGAUUAUGCACGGUGUUUCCAGAACUUUUGCACGCUUGAAAAUAUGAAAAUUUCAAGGUACGUAUAACUAUGAGCCGAGCGAAACUGUCGUAAAUCUUGCAGCCAACCAUUAUUUUAGCCCAAUUUCCAUAAAAAAUACUUAUCUCGUGGCGACCUUCUGUCGCUGCCGCUUUAGUUCUGCCGCUCACGUACGUAUGUAUAUAUUAUAUAUGCGAAUAAUCAUUAAGGAAAGUAAAAUAUGCCAAGCUAAAAAGCGCUUAAACGCUGGCGUUGAGUUUUAAUGAGAAAAUCUCGUGAAAAAUGAGAACUGUCUUUUGCAAGGAUCGUGUCGUAAAUAUCCGCCCGGCGAUGCUACGGUGUUCUUCCGCUCUCAUUAAUGUUGAAGAAAUUCCGUGCAACUUGCGAUUUUCAGUUGACAUACAGAGACGCGAAUGAAUGUUCAAAGUGAAGUCUUUGAGCAGCUUCGUUCGACGUUUGCAUCGCCAACUGGAUACACGCGAUCGUAGGAAUCUGGAUGAGCGCUUCGAUUUAACGAGGACCUGUUUCUCCAAUUUCUGUCAACUACCUCAGGCUGGUCGCUUAACUUACCUCGAUUAAAAGCUUUCGAGGGAAAAUUUCCGAAUUACGUAUUUUUUGGAAAUAAAAAAAAAGCAUAAUCGAAACGCGUGUUUUCUUUCGUCUUCGUUUCGGGAAAUACAUAUUCGAUGGUCAAAUUGUCACGAUGAAAUAAUUCUGCGACAUUGUGUGCGUUGAAGCGGAGGAAAGGGAAAGUUGGAAAUAAAAUUAUGCGAGAAGCGUGGGAAAUUUUACGAGAAUAUUUCAAGUUAUGGCCUGGAUUCCCAAAACGUUUUCGAUAAGAUUUAGUGUGCUUUUCAAGCGAAAUUUAACAUCGAGGAGAAAAGCAAGCGUGUGUUUUUCUUCCACCGUGUUUAUCAUGACUAUGGAAAAUCGAUAGAAAAGAAGAAUAACCUAUUAUCCUUGACCCGUGAUCGAUCGCAGCUCGCAUAGAUGAAAAUUAGACGAGUUCGAUACGCAGUACAUUAUCACAGUGACAUGUUGAAACAACGAAGGAGGCCGUUAUCGAUCUUUCCGUGAAAGGUCAGCGAAUCCCUUCUUCGUCUACGAACAGACAUCCAAAUUUCCCCCAACGCAACAUCUAUUUGUCAUCGGCGGAGCUUAUACCAACCAUAUGCUUCGCCGUUUCAACAUUAAAUUCUCAUUACGAUCUAGUUGAUUCACGUUCUACAACUACACGAAUAACGCACGAUUGUUACUUUACCGACGGUGAACGAUGAUGGUUAUUAAGCGCAAAAGGCAAUAUGGAAGACGUCAACUAUUCUUCCUCGUCCUUUUGUAUUAUUCAUCUUGUACAUAAUUCAAUGAAAAUAGAGAACUUUCCUUCACGCGUCGUGGCCUUCGACGCACCUGAAUUAUUCAACAUUUUUGCAUGAAUAAACAAACCAUUGUGAAAAUAUCUUCUAAUUUACUGAACGUGGCGGAUUAAUUGUUGAAUAUAUACAGCGAAUGACGUGAAGUUAGAGACGCGAGAUGUGCAAUAUUAUGCAAAUUAGGUUAUGCGAGACAACCAAUCCGUAUCAAUGUACGUAGAUACAGGGUGGUUGGUAACUGGUGGUACAAACGGAAAGGGGGUGAUUUUACGCGAAAAAAGAAGUCAAAAAAAUAAAAAAAAAAAGUUUUUUUUUUUUUUUUUUUUUUUUUUUAAUUUUUCCAUCGAGACAACGAUCUACAGUGGGAUACGUUACAACGAGACGUGAUAAAGAGACGCGUACCGAGCGGAAAUUCAAAGUCGAUUUUCUCGAAAACAAAGCCUCAAACGGAAAAUUUUUAUUCUAUAUUUUCGACUUCUUUUUUCGCGUAGAAUCACCCCCUUUCCGCUUGUACCACCAGUUGCCAACUCAAUAAAUGCGUAUUAUUCGAUGUAAAUGGGAACGAGUAUCGUUUAGUGAUUCCGGUAAUUUGUGUGCUGAGUUCGACGAUCGCGCGUAUCGUCUUUCGUGAUUUCAAAGCACGGCAUUGAUAAGUCGAUAAUGCUCGAUACAUCGAACGGAUCGUGUAACUUUUCAAAGUUUCGGAGAAACUUGAAACUGAUCAUCUCGAGCGCUUCUUACGGAAAAGGAAGGAACGAAAGAAGAAAGAAGAGCAGUGUCAUACAAGAACAACUGCAACUGGAAAACGACGUCAAAGGGGAGGGAAGUUCUGCGAAUUAUUUUCUCUCUUUUUUUUUUUUUAUUUUUGUACGUCGGAUCCACUCGCGAGGUGGUACAGGCUCGUUGACGCGUAACCUAUACAUUUCAGUAAGCUGGAAAAUCGCGAGAAAAUGGCCGGUUAAAUUUAAAGGAAAACUCAACUUUUGUAUGUUUUUGUUAGAACGGUAACGUUAAAAACAGCUGGUUUUGGGAAACGUUCGACGAAAGUGACGGAGAAGAAUAAUUGAAGCGGUGGUUGGAGAAGGUGCUCCAAAUGUUUCGAAUAAAUAUUGAACGAAAAAAGUAUUUCAUUUACACAGAACGUAUCUUUCGAUAUACAAUCGGUAGCGGAUUUAUCAAAGUUUAGCUAUUGACACGGUUUUUUUAACGAUCCACUGUACGCGAGAAUAACCAGACAGGAAAAAGCAUUGUAAACGGAAGUGAAAUAAAACUAUACAAAUAUGUGUACGUGUCUCGUACGCGCAAUAUAAAUCCGUCGCAUGAAAACCGCGACACUUGGCCAAACGUUAGGCGAUCAAUCUCUACUAUUACAUUUGUAUCGAUAAGAAAUAACGAGCGAUCGUAAUCUCUCAAGUUCUUAGACUGUAUAUCUCGUAAAUGAACGCGGCUAGAAAGAAGAAACAUUUUCUCUGAGAAAACCUUUUUUGGAUCGUACUUGGAAGCAACCAAUUCUAAACAUUCGUAUUAUGGAAAGGAUGCAAUGCUUCCAGGUACUGAAGCUUUUAUCGAAAAAAUUGAUCUAUCAUAUUCUACAUACGUCAGCCUACAAAAGACGUCUUUCAAGGAUAAAUCGUAUGUGUUGAGAAUUGUGGAUCCUAAUCGCCGAAAUAAUUGUAUAGGGACACUUAGAUUACACUUAGAAUUAAUAUCAAAAUAGUUUCAGACUUAUUUGAUGUGUGAUUGACAAGAUGUUCGUCGAUACACAUUUGCACGCAUUUUAGCGCUCUCUUUGUCUCGCCAUCUUGUAUACCACACUACCAACGGAACAGUUGCAUUCAUCUGUUUUACGAGACGCUGUGUAUCAUACUCAUAUAUGUGUGUCACUACUACGGCUAAUCUAGCGUAGCACACAAAAUUACACAUAUCUCAAUAAUAACUUUAAAAUUUGAGAGUUUUCAUAUAAACAAAGACGAACAAAAUUUCUAACACGAUAAAACGAAAUAUUGGAUUGACAACUAAUUGAUUGCGGAUUUUGACAAUACCACCUAAUAACAAAAUCCGUAAACAUUUAGUUGCCAACCCAAUAGUCGCAGCGACAGAAGGAACCAACUUUGCUCCAGCUAUUCAAAUAUUUCUUUUUAAGAUUCAUAAAUGUUGAGAAUUGUGGAUCUUAAUCGCCGAAAUAAAUGUAUAGGAACACUUGGAUUACACUUAGAAUUAAUAUCAAAAUAGUUUCAGACUUAUUUGAUGUGUGAUUGACAAGAUAUUCGUCGAUACACAUUUGCACGCAUUUUAGCGCUCUCUUUGUCUCGCCAUCUUGUAUACCACACUACCAACGGAACAGUUGCAUUCAUCUGUUUUACGAGACGCCGUGCACUCAUACUCAUAUAUGUGUGUCACUACUACGCGGCUGAUCUAGCGUAGCACACAAAAUUACACAUAUGUCAAUAGUAUCUCAAUAGUAUAAUAGUAAUUGGAAGAACAAACAAUUGCUCGGUUGUAUAAUUAAUUACUUUUUAAUAACGUAGAGACACGCCAUUUGAAGAAAUAUUCGAAAAGUAAAUGAAAGUAAAUUUAUCGUUCUCAUGCAACGCAAAUAGAUACAUAUGUAUGUGUAUGUAAGCGAAACACGCGAUUGCUUUGUAUCAGAGAUGCAUAUGUAUAUCGAUGUAUUGGGUUGGAAACUAAGUGAUUGCUGAUUUUGUCAUUACCACCUAAUGAUAAAAUCCGCAAUCACUUAGUUGUCAACCCAAUAUCUUAAGGAAUUGAGUAGAUCUACGAGAAGGAUGGCCUUGCGAUUAAAUUCACAAUUGGAAUGUUUAUGAAGGGGCGAAGGAUAUAAAAGGACUUGAGAGAAUGGAAAGAGAACGAGACACAGAAGCUAGUAAGAUAUUCCGUGGCAUUUUGAAUCAUUUUAUUAGAAGAAGCACAGCUAGGAAAUAAGGUUGGCGAGAGUGCAAUCUUAUAUGCUAUUUCGAAUAUGCAAUGCAACUCUCGUGCCGUACAUUUUCCAUCGUAUGCAGUAUGCAGAAUGCAAUAUGCAGUAUGCAGGCAAUUUUCGCGGCGAAAUUCCCAAGCUUAUUGCUACAAAAUACUUAUCGUGCAAAAACUUAUCGCGGUAGUUUCGUAAAUUUUCACAUCAAAAGAAACGGAUAAAAUGGAUGUUAAAAUACCGGCAACAACUUUCGACGUUGUGAGCCACUAGCUAACAUCAAUUUAAACCUAGCAACAUAACAGCAAAGGAGAACUUAAAAAGGAAGAGUUUGCAAAGAGUUUAGAGUAUAAAACGACGCAUAGAGGUCAUUGAGAUGCGAGCACCUGCGAGUUUAAAAUAAAAGCAGCCAGAGAUUAGAAGCAACUCCUGUUUCUCAGGCGAAAUUUUCUACGUUACUAGAUACGUGUCAAAAGGCUGCUUAAAGCAAAACAACUUUUGCAACUGUAUCAGUGUGUUCAUGAAAAGCAUUGAAAGGACUGUAAAAACUCGCUUUGAUACUUUACGUUGAAAAAAGAGAUCAACAAAAUAUGUUGUCGCUCCACAAGGAGUAAUUUGAAACCACGGAGUAUAAUAGUAGAAAAGGACACCCAAUAGUGUAUGCUCGUCAGCCUAGUCCUUCAAAGGGCGUUUUCGUCCAGAUAUCGAUGCAUACUAGCUAAUUCAAUCGUGAAACACUUUACGAGCUGUACAAAGUGUUCUCAGGACGCUACAACACCAUCUAUUAUCUAUCAGUGGUUCUUCCAUUGCAAAUACAAUACCUCCAUUAAAUAAUUCUAACAUUAUGCGAAAUAUACUUUAGAAAAUAUAUAUAUGUCCAUAUACACAAAUAAGUUACUUUUCAUAAAUAUUUGAAUCGUGUAUAAUAAGUAUGUUCUAUGUAUAAAUGUUACAUAACGAAAUGUGUUUUAUAUGUGAAAGGAAUUACAAGAUAUAACGGAACAAUAUAAAAGCAAAUAAAUAAUACAAGGGACCAUUAAUUUGUUGUUUAAUUCCGAUAAAUACCGCAAGCAAUCGAAUGCAAUAUCGUGCCAAUGUCAAUACGAUUAAGAACCACUGGUCUACAUAGGAGCUGCGUCGAACUGAACAUAAAGAGGCAGACAGACAGAGACAGAGACAGAGAGAGAGAGAGAACGCGAUCGAUAAGAAGUCGAUGGCAAGUACAGCUUUCCUUUGGGAAAUCAAAGUCGAAAUUUAGGGAAGCUCGAUUUAUUAGUUUUUUAAGGCACAACACAACGGUUUAUGUUUCCUUGCCGAUUUAUUGGGUUGGAAACUAAGUGAUUGCGGAUUUUGUCAAUGGGUGGUAUUGACAAACCCGCAAUCAUUUAGUUGCCAACUUAAUAUUUGCACGAGUGUGAAUUGUCACUAGCCGAUGAAAGUACACGAUAGCCUUGUAAAAAUCAAAAUAUGACGAUUCUAAAUUGAAAUAGAAUAUUACGAUGCUGAUCAAAAAUUUGUUCUGUAGUGGUUUGUUGUGUCUAGUGUUACAGAGCCAUAAAUUAGCGAUAGAAAAACCAAGGGCGUCUAACGAACGUCCCGCAGGCCAUCGAAACAACAACAUAGAGAGAGUGUUCCAGUGUGAGAAAACAGUAACAGUGGCCAUCUUUGAUCUGGGCCCCGGCGACACCCCCUCCAUAGGAGCCAAACCUAUAGUAUAUAAACAUUACUAAAAUCAGCUCUCGACAUUCUCUGUUCUAACUCUGAACGAAGACUAAAAAGAAAACACCUCACUGACUUCACUAAAGAAAUAAAAUAGUCAAACUCGAAGAUGGCAUCCCGCUGGAGGAUACAGUAGAUAGGAUGGAAAUCUAAUAAACAAAGCAGAAAAAAGCAAUGUAAGUUUUGUUGAUGUCUGAAGUAAUAAUACGCAGAAUGGUAAAUGAAGAGGAAUAUUUCAGAUAACCGUUUUCGCUAUCAACGGAAUUUCAUUGCUAAAUUAAGGAUCUCUUAAUUAGGGAAGAAUGGAAGGCAACGGAGCAUAAAGCUGUCGAGCAAGCACAAUUUCUCUGGGCGAUAUUAAAACGACGCCUAAUAUCCUGGACGGCUUGAUAUUAAGAGGAUGACGAAGGUGAAUCCCAAAGGAAAGCUGAAAUGGGGUGAAGAAAGGGAUCGUAAGCCGCUUACGGUUUCACGAUGUCACGAAACGAACGAGCCACCAACUGCUUGUCGUUUUAGCAGCACGCAUAAACCGCACUCUACGUGGCUAGGAUUUACAGACCUAGAAGGUUCCUGAAAUUAGACCAACUCGCGUAUAUGCCUUCCAUGAUGCACGGAUUAACUUGUUUUCCUACAAACAUAAAGUCCCUUCAAAUUGCCAAAGUUGGCAACUAAGUGAUUGCGGAUUUUGUCAAUAUCACCUAAUGACAAAAUCCGCAAUUACUUAGUUGCCAACCCAAUAUAUGCAUAUUACUCUGUUGCUUAAAUAAUUAUCAGUUUCAUUGUAAUUUCAGUAUGGUAUAUGGUUAAUUGAAUUACAAUUCAAUUGAUCUAACUAAAACGCUAAAACGGCUUGAUUAUAUAAAAUAAAUGCGAUCUUUUUUUGCAAAACUUUGCACUUGUUCUACUGUAGAUCUUUUUCAGAUUUUUCAUCAGCGAUGUUUCAACGUUUGGCUGUUACGUAAACUUGUUGCUGUUGCUUCAUCGUUCGUUGCAAAUUCUCCAACUCGUUAACUUUGGCACAAAAUUCUUGGCAUUUUGUCGAAAAGUUUCCAACUAAAUUUCACCUUACUACGAGCUAAUUUACAAAGGAUUUAACGAGGAUAUCUGAGUGCAUAUCCUUGUAUAAAGAUAAGUGCCCUUCCAUUAAAUUGAAAUGGUUCCAGUUGCAACUCAGAUCUUAGAAUCCCUUCAGUUGUUCUGCUUAUGGGAAUUUAUUUGCACCCGCCCAGCCGUCUCGCUAUAUUCUACAAGUAUUGGGUUGACCUUGGGGCCAACCCAAUGGACGUUUGCAUGGAUACAGGAAAAUAAGGAUGUGCAAAAUUUUGUAUCGGUGCGUGUCUUUUCUGGAAUAUUUUAGCUAAACCAAAAAUGAGCCAUUUUUCACGAAAAUGAACGGUUUUGAAAAUUCUGCCUUAUGAACAUUUGACAGACCAAGAUCUGAACUAUAGAAAUCUGCUUGAGACCGUGAUCAGGUGAUGGCAUUGGCAAUGCCAAUUUUCCUGCUUACCGCUUACUGGUCUGUUGAGAAUUUUGGAUCUUAAUGGCCGAAAUAAUGGUAUAGGAACACUAAAUUUACACUUAGAAUUCAUAUUAGAAUAGUUAUGUAUUUAUUUGAUAAGCGAUUUCAAAGAUAUUCAUCGAUACACACUUGCACGCAUCUCAGUACUUUCUUCCAUAUCCGACUGCUAACCGACUGAAGAGUUUACAUUUCUUUGUUUUGGAGAUGCGUAUAUAUACUUCCACACACUGAUAUUCACAUACAAGUAUUACUACUAUGCAGCUAACCUAGUCUAGCAUAUACAAUUAUACAUAUCACAAUAUGGUCUUUGUAUGAUUACGGUGAGACGAUCGGAAAAACAGAAAGUAAGUGAAAGUUAAUUCAGUAAUCAUGAUUCAGAUGCAUAUAAAACAAGCCACAUAGUAAGUUAAGAGUAGCGUGUUUUGAAAAAGGUAUCUUUCAAAUUCAUGAGGAUGUCACACAUCAACAGUUUUCACGUCCCAUUUCCGUAAAACACGACCCUCAUUUUUGGCUUCAGUGACCUGAAAAACGCCUAAUAAGAGUCAAAUAUUUUGCAAUCCGGAUACUAUACUGAGUCCGGAAAUAAUAAUAGAACGAGAUAAUAGGUAGUUUCAAGGGAAUAACCAUAAAACAUUUUAUUCGCUAAAACAAGCAGCAAACGAAAAAAAAAUGCGAGCGAUUAGUUGUAUUAAUUUUGAAUAAAAGAAGAUUUUCAAUAAUAAUCGAGAACAUUCUACUUGUACAAAAUCAUGUUCAAAAGCAUUCUUACUCGGCAAAAAUAUCUAUUUUCUUCCAUCUGUGAAGCAUAACUCAAAAUAUUAUUAGGUUGGUAACUAAGUAAUUGCUGAUUUUGUCAUUAGGUGGCAUUAACAAAACCCGCAAUCACUUAGUUACCAACCCAAUAUAUCGGUCUGCUUUUUUUCCAGCAUCCGUUACAAGUGAAAGUGAAAGUUGACGAAUCUAUGGCAUUAAAUUGUUAAUAAUAUUUGUUAGACGAUAAAUAAAGACAAUAUAAACGUGCGAACGAGAGAGAUUUUGUUCGAGGAAAAUCGGAAUUAAUUGCAGGAUUUGACAUUACCAUCGAGUUAUUCGAAGGAAAAAUGUUUCUUGUCGAAGGACUCUGCGUACCUACUAGAUCAUGUUACUUUGAAUAAUGCCUCUACUUUGUUUAUAGUCUUAUCAGCUUAUCUUUAGCUUGCUUCAUAAGCUCCUUUUCUUCUCCCAUUUUUCAAUAACAAUUUCCUAUCAGAUAGAUUCCAAGAUACCUAUAUAACUAUAUUUGUAUAGAGGAACCGAUUGAAUUAAUUAAAUUAAUAUAAUAAUAUAUAAUAAUAUAUAAUAUAAUAUAAUUAAACAUUAUAUUAUAAAUAGACAUUAUAUCGGAUAGAAUGGAGUGGAAACUUUUUGGCAAAACAUCUUUUCCCAUUGUUUGGCGCUACUUUUACUCCUCAUAUAGGACUAACAAAGGUUACAGUUGGUGGUAGCUAUAUCCAGGGACGAAUGCAUGAAACAGAUCCAGAGGGAAUAUGAAGUUCCUAAGAUUCAAUCUGCGAGGCUUCCAAGGGAUCAUUAAGAUCCCACGCGUAUGACAAAAUGGAGCAAGGAUUCUCGCUAGUAAGCCUCUUACUUUAUUCGGGAAUAAAAAUCGCGGUGGCAUUUCAAGGGAGAAGAUAGCGAAGAAGCAGGAUCUCUCCUUCUCGGGUUUUUAAAGCCAUUACUCUGCCUUUAUUCGUGGCGGUUUCGCGGGGAACUCGCUGCUACCAAAGGAAAGUGCUUCCUUCGACUAGCAGGGAAUUAGGGCUUUCAAGAAGCAAAAAGAAAGCAUAUCCUAGAUCAGAGAAUGAAAGAGGAGUUUUUGUGAUCGUGGUUACGCUUUUGUUGCCACUUUUCAAAUACCACAUCAGGAAAUUGCCUCUUAACCACCACUUCCAAGUAAGUUAAACUUAAUUUAGCUAAAGCUUCAAUGUUUCAGCAUAUGACUGUAGCUCGAACCGCACCUAAUUCUCUUUGACAACUAGCACAGUUAUUAACGUGUGGUGGAUGGUUAAAUGUGUUGCUUUAAAUGACGACACGAGCGAAUACUUGUAAUGGUCAAAUAUAUUUAAAAUCGUUCUAAGUACAGAGUACAGAGUUUGUUGAGAUAUGUAUAAUUUUCUGUGCUGGACUAGGUUAAAUGCGUAGUAGAGGUACUUGUAUGUGAAUAUCAGUGUGUGGAUGUAUGUGUGUCCGCAGCAUCUCGACAACAAAGGAAUGUAAACUCUUCAGUCGGUUAAGAGUCGGUUAACAGUCGGGUAUAGAAAAAAGUGCUGAGACGCGUGCAAGUGUGUAUCGAUGAAUAUAUAAGGAAUCAUUCAUGAAAUAAAUAUUUCAUUAUUUUAAUAUUAAUCGUCAGUAUAAAUUUUGUGUUUCUAUAACAUUAUUUCGGCUUCAAAGAUCCACAA